CACAUGAGCUAAAACUUCUAGUUCAAAGAUACAAUGCAAAGUAUUUGUUUCCGUUACAAAGGAACUUUGGCCUGAGGUUUUUCAUUAAUGGGAAAGUCUUUCACACUUGGAGUAAACAUCAGCUCUCUUCUAUUUCAUCUUUUAUAUUUCAGGAAAGCCCUGCAGUGAUUCCUGAAUAUGAAAACCAUGUGCAUGUUCUUCAUCAGCAUUUCUUUACUUCCUGGAUGAAGGCAAAACCGUUAGAAAACGAUAAAUCCAUCUCCAGUGGAAAGAAGGGGACAAAUUAAAUGAACAAACACUACGUGGCUGAUGCGAUCGAACGCGCAGCACAAUUAAACAGCCAUUACCCAAACCUCACUGAAUGUGACACUUUCAUCGCUUUAAGGACAAGAGGAAGAAAUCAGCGUGGGCUGUUUGCAGAUCAUUCAGAAAUGAGAGCAUAUCCUCAUGCAACCUCAAGCGUCCUCUGAAACUAGCUAUGCUGGUUGAGUCUUUCAUGCUGGUCUCCUGCUGGUGGGAGGAUGACUCAUGCUCAGAGUGACCUUCUGUCAUACCGCCCUCAAUAAUAUUGACAGAGGCUUGCCUGUGGUCCUUACAUUCAUCUUCAUUAGCACUUGGCUUUAAGCAUCAAUGUCAUUGUCCGCUCCUGGGAGGCCUUCGCUGCUAUCUCUGCUUCUGUCUGCCCUGGUCGCCACAUCUUUCAUCCUCUUCCUGCCAUUGCUUAGCUUAGAGGGAACUCAAUCAGACUAUCAUCCGAGACAUGUUUGCCUGCAAUCUGCCCUUUUUACUUGUGAAAACUAGGGCAAAGAGGAGGAAAACAUUGAUCUUGGAAGAUGAUUGCUUAAAGGGAUAGCUCACCUCAAAAUUAGAAUUUGUCAUCAUUUACUGUUUGACAAGCAAAGAACCAGUGAUGGAUAUUCUUCAGGGCCAGGAUAUUAUUCAAAUUUGACUUCCAAAGAAGAAAUAAAGUCAGGUUUGGAACGACAAUUAGGAAAGAGUCAUCCAUCUCCUGUAGUCAGCGUGGGACGUAAUGUCGGUGACCACAGCCAGCAGGGCUCUGCCGCACGUAUCUCUGUCCACGUAUCCCUAUCAGCUUCAGAGAGGUCAGAACGGAGAGAAGGGGUGAGGGUCAGCAAUGAACGAGACUGAUCGAUUGUUUUUCUGCAAGUUGCCGGAUGGUGCUUCCAGAAGCCACAGCCAUCGAUCGAGGCUGACACUGAUGGAUGACCCGUUUUUUCCAUUGUGCUGAUGGAUACACUAAAGCUCCUUACAGAGUUCAGUCUCAGCCCAGCAAAACCAAUGGUCUCGGUGCAGGGGUUUAAGUUUGAUUAACUAAAACCUCCUGCAGGCCAAGGAGAGCCAAACUCCUCCGCUGCUGUGCGAUGAACCCCAGUCAGCCAUUUACUGACCUACACAAUCUUUCAAAGCCUCCAGGAUGCUGCCUGUGCAUACAUGCCAGUGGCUGUGAUAUCUCUGGCAGUGUGUGUGGAAACACACAGUGGGUACAAGGCAAAACUGGCUUGGAGAAGACCACUUUGGAUGAGGACAUAUGAGAAGCUUGGCUCAUUUCGGAUAUCACAGUCCAUGACUGAAACAUGUUCUCAAGAGCCGUAGGAGUCCUCAACGCUUCAUAAUGGCUUCUGGGGUUAUGUUUUUUUUUUAGGAUGUCAUUCUUUCACCUACUUAAUAAUCCAUAAAUCUUUUCAUUUUAAUGCCUUUCUGCACCACAACUACUAAAUUUAAGUGUGGUGCAUUGAUCUAAUAAUAAAUGCAUUGAAUUUAAUAAACUUUAAUGACUAUCAUAAUAGUCAAUGUGUCAUAAAGGGCGUCUAAGAUAUCUCACAAUUACAUCACUUUAAUUGCGAGAUGAAUGCUUUAAAUGAAGAAAGUUCAUGCUGCUGAAAUGUGUGCAUGAUUCAUAUUCAUAUUUUUAUCCAUCUGCCUAAGUAAAGUGAGUUAGUGUGGUUGUUUUCUUGCAGUUUCUGUACUGUAUUAUAGAAUAUACUUGUGUUUUAAUGUGCCUUGUCCCAUGAUAAUUAUUUGUUCAUUAUAUGUCGUAUGCCAUUAAUAUACAGUGUUGUUGUUCAUUUUAAGAUCUGGAUUGAUUUAAAGGUGGUCAUUCUUUCCCUAUACAUAACUUAUUUUUUUAAUAGAAUUAUAGGUUCAGUAAGUUUUAGUCACAUAAAUAUUAGGGCUGGGUAAAAAAUAGUGAUUUUAAUCGAUUCUCAUUUUUACAAAACAUUAGCGAUUCUUAAAUCCUACAAGAAUCGAUUACUCUAGCCUGUUUUCAGGUAAUGAACGGAACAUUG
Molecule: long non-coding RNA, 2309 nt
Organism: Labeo rohita (rohu)
Lineage: Eukaryota; Metazoa; Chordata; Actinopteri; Cypriniformes; Cyprinidae
Exons: 6
Source: RefSeq, a predicted model, not a curated record